GCCAGGGGGGCUUAGUGGUUUGAGCGUUGGACUAUGGCUCUGGAGACCAGGGUUCAAAUACCGGCUCAGCCA
This 72-nucleotide transfer RNA is filed under the name Phrynosoma platyrhinos (Desert horned lizard). Its description in RNAcentral is "tRNA-OTHER". The record is from RNAcentral. Lineage: Eukaryota; Metazoa; Chordata; Lepidosauria; Squamata; Phrynosomatidae.